This 229-nucleotide ribosomal RNA is filed under the name uncultured bacterium. RNAcentral describes it as "partial 16S ribosomal RNA". It matches the Rfam family "Bacterial small subunit ribosomal RNA", at positions 568 to 796 of the family's 1533-position model. The record is from RNAcentral.
UCCGUAGGUGGAUAAUUAAGUCAGAGGUGAAAUCCUGCAGCUCAACUGUAGAAUUGCCUUUGAUACUGGUUAUCUUGAGUCAUUAUGAAGUGGUUAGAAUGUGUAGUGUAGCGGUGAAAUGCAUUGAUAUUACACAGAAUACCGAUUGCGAAGGCAGAUCACUAAUAAUGUACUGACACUGAGGGACGAAAGCGUGGGGAGCGAACAGGAUUAGAUACCCUGGUAGUCC